Molecule: ribosomal RNA, 121 nt
Filed under: Medicago truncatula (barrel medic)
Lineage: Eukaryota; Viridiplantae; Streptophyta; Magnoliopsida; Fabales; Fabaceae
Source: RNAcentral
CGGUGCGAUCAUACCAGCACUAAUGUACCAGAUCCCAUCAGAAUUUCGCAGUUAAACAUGUUUGGGCGAGAGUUGUAUUAGGAUGGGUGACCUCCUAGAAAGUCAUGAAAAAUCACAAAAA